GGAACACAAAUCAAACACUCGAAUCUCGUAAUUUGUAAAGGUCCAGUGUGUUACAACCACUCUAAAAGAAGAACUUGCUGCAGCCGAAUCAGCCUUGGCCUAAACAUCCAGGUGACGCUUCCUUAUACAAACUCAACUGAAGGCCAAGAAGAAUAAAGAGGCGAUGCCUCAUGACCAGCUCUCUCAACUUUAUAAACUUCACCCUAUGAUGAAGCGUAGAAAGCGAGCAACCGACCUAACACAAUCAAAUCUAAAAGCUGAGUGGAAUCAACUCAAGGACUUAUUGUCUUGAUCCCUUC
This 299-nucleotide long non-coding RNA is filed under the name Ananas comosus (pineapple). RNAcentral's name for it is "long non-coding RNA (ACOM_LNC005209)". The record is from RNAcentral. Lineage: Eukaryota; Viridiplantae; Streptophyta; Magnoliopsida; Poales; Bromeliaceae.